UCCGUAAAGGUGGAUGAGUGGUGUUUGGUUUGUUACGUGUGGUUGGCUGCGGCGUUUGCAACAACUUCCAUGCUUUCAGACCUCUUCAGUUGUGCGGCAAGGCUUGUAUCGCCUUGAGCGUAUUGUGGGUUUUCUGUGUUGGCUACCUAAUCAAUGGUAUCGGUUGGAUUGAUCAAAGUUUGAUUUCGUCUUCCGUCGCAUUUGCGGCGUGAGGUGAACCUCGAUGCGGUCUCUUUGAUCCACCUCGUCGAAGCACAUGCUUUGACGUUGUGGCACAUUGAGCAUUGCUUGGUCUCUUGUAUACGGAACAUAUAGUGGGCAUGGAUCUAACGAUUUUUGUUUGCCCUCAUAUUAGCGUAACGCUUCUCUAACACGACUUGUGCCACGUUUUAGCUCGUACGGACGUGGUGCUAUGUCGAAGAGGAAUGCUACCUGGUUGAUCCUGCCAGUAGUCAUAUGCUUGUCUCAAAGAUUAAGCCAUGC
RNAcentral lists this unclassified non-coding RNA (483 nucleotides) under Kaschgaria komarovii. RNAcentral's name for it is "partial external transcribed spacer". The stretch from base 430 to 483 matches the Rfam family "Eukaryotic small subunit ribosomal RNA", at positions 1 to 54 of the family's 1831-position model. The record is from RNAcentral. Lineage: Eukaryota; Viridiplantae; Streptophyta; Magnoliopsida; Asterales; Asteraceae.